This 2103-nucleotide ribosomal RNA is filed under the name human gut metagenome. RNAcentral describes it as "bacterial LSU rRNA". It matches the Rfam family "Bacterial large subunit ribosomal RNA", at positions 813 to 2925 of the family's 2925-position model. The record is from RNAcentral.
GGAUAGCGGAGAAAUUCCAAUCGAACUCGGAGAUAGCUGGUUCUCCUCGAAAUAGCUUUAGGGCUAGCGUGAGGUGAUAUGAGUACUGGAGGUAGAGCACUGAAUGGGCUAGGGGGUAUAGCACUUACCGAACCUUAUCAAACUCCGAAUGCCAGAUACUUUUAGCCUUGCAGUCAGACUGCGAAUGAUAAGGUCCGUAGUCAAAAGGGAAACAGCCCAGAUCGUCAGCUAAGGUCCCAAAGUGUAAGUUAAGUGGAAAAGGAUGUGGGAUUUCUAAGACAACUAGGAUGUUGGCUUAGAAGCAGCCACUCAUUAAAAGAGUGCGUAAUAGCUCACUAGUCGAGAGAUCCUGCGCCGAAGAUGUCCGGGGCUAAAACUUACCACCGAAGCUACGGGAUUGCAAUAGCAAUCGGUAGAGGAGCGUCGUAAUCGGGCUGAAGUCGUACCGUAAGGAGCGGUGGACUGAUUACGAGUGAGAAUGUUGGCAUUAGUAGCGAGAUGUAGGUGAGAAUCCUACAGGCCGAAUAUCUAAGGUUUCCUCAGGAAGGCUCGUCCGCUGAGGGUUAGUCGGGACCUAAGCCGAGGCCGAAAGGCGUAGGCGAUGGACAACAGGUUGAUAUUCCUGUACCACUACCAUCGUUAUUAUCGAGGGUGUGACGGAGAAGGAUAGUGUGUGCUAGCGAUUGGAAAUGCUAGUCUAAGCGUUUAGGCAGUUACGGUAGGCAAAUCCGCUGUAACGUUAAUGCUGAGGCGUGAUGGGGAAGGCCCUUGAGGCUGAAGUACAUGAUUCCAUGCUUCCAAGAAAAGCAUCUAGAGAGAGAAGUAGUGCCCGUACCGCAAACCGACACAGGUAGAUGAGGAGAGAAUCCUAAGGCCGGCGGAAGAAUUGCAGUUAAGGAACUAGGCAAAUUGACCCCGUAAGUUAGCGAGAAGGGGUGCCUACGAGAGUAGGCCGCAGAGAAUAGGCCCAAGCAACUGUUUAGCAAAAACACAGGUCUCUGCUAAAGCGAAAGCUGAUGUAUAGGGGCUGACGCCUGCCCGGUGCUGGAAGGUUAAGGGGAACACUUAGCGCAAGCGAAGGUGUGAACUUAAGCCCCAGUAAACGGCGGCCGUAACUAUAACGGUCCUAAGGUAGCGAAAUUCCUUGUCAGGUAAGUUCUGACCCGCACGAAUGGCGUAAUGAUUUGGGCACUGUCUCAACUGUGAAUCCGGCGAAGUUGUAGUGCGAGUGAAGAUGCUCGCUACCCGCGAUUGGACGGAAAGACCCCGUAGAGCUUUACUGUAGCUUAGCAUUGAAUUUCGGUAUUGUCUGUACAGGAUAGGUGGGAGACUAGGAAACCAGAGCGUCAGCUUUGGCGGAGUCACCCUUGGGAUACCACCCUGAUAGUACUGAGGUUCUAACUGGAUGCCAUGAAUCUGGUGACAGGACAUUGUUAGGUGGGCAGUUUGACUGGGGCGGUCGCCUCCGAAAGUGUAACGGAGGCGCCCAAAGGUUCCCUCAGAACGGUCGGAAAUCGUUCGAAGAGUGCAAAGGCAGAAGGGAGCCUGACUGCGACACCCACAAGUGGAGCAGGGACGAAAGUCGGGCUUAGUGAUCCGGUGGUACCUCGUGGGAGGGCCAUCGCUCAACGGAUAAAAGCUACCUCGGGGAUAACAGGCUGAUCUCCCCCAAGAGUCCACAUCGACGGGGAGGUUUGGCACCUCGAUGUCGGCUCAUCGCAUCCUGGGGCUGUAUUCGGUCCCAAGGGUUUGGCUGUUCGCCAAUUAAAGCGGCACGCGAGCUGGGUUCAGAACGUCGUGAGACAGUUCGGUCCCUAUCCGUCGCGGGCGUAGGAAAUUUGAGAGGAUCUGCUCCUAGUACGAGAGGACCAGAGUGGACUUACCGCUGGUGUACCAGUUGUUCUGCCAAGAGCAUCGCUGGGUAGCUAUGUAGGGAAGGGAUAAACGCUGAAAGCAUCUAAGUGUGAAGCCCACCUCAAGAUGAGAUUUCCCAUGAUUUUAUAUCAGUAAGAGCCCUGAGAGAUGAUCAGGUUGAUAGGUUAGAAGUGGAAGUGUGGUGACACAUGUAGCGGACUAAUACUAAUAGCUCGAGGACUUAUCCAA